This 253-nucleotide ribosomal RNA is filed under the name uncultured bacterium. RNAcentral describes it as "partial 16S ribosomal RNA". It matches the Rfam family "Bacterial small subunit ribosomal RNA", at positions 524 to 776 of the family's 1533-position model. The record is from RNAcentral.
UACGUAGGGGGCAAGCGUUGUCCGGAUUUAUUGGGCGUAAAGAGCGUGUAGGCGGCUUUACAGGUCCGUUGUGAAAACUCGAAGCUCAACCUCGAGACGCCGGUGGAAACCGUAAAGCUAGAGUCCGGAAGAGGAGACUGGAAUUCCUGGUGUAGCGGUGAAAUGCGCAGAUAUCAGGAGGAACACCGGUGGCGAAGGCGGGUCUCUGGGCCGAUACUGACGCUGAGGAGCGAAAGCGUGGGUAGCAAACAGG